RNAcentral lists this ribosomal RNA (497 nucleotides) under uncultured bacterium. RNAcentral's name for it is "partial 16S ribosomal RNA". It matches the Rfam family "Bacterial small subunit ribosomal RNA", at positions 28 to 507 of the family's 1533-position model. The record is from RNAcentral.
GAUGAACGCUGGCGGCGUGCCUAAUACAUGCAAGUCGAGCGAACAGACGAGGAGCUUGCUCCUCUGACGUUAGCGGCGGACGGGUGAGUAACACGUGGAUAACCUACCUAUAAGACUGGGAUAACUUCGGGAAACCGGAGCUAAUACCGGAUAAUAUAUUGAACCGCAUGGUUCAAUAGUGAAAGACGGUUUUGCUGUCACUUCUAGAUGGAUCCGCGCCGCAUUAGCUAGUUGGUAAGGUAACGGCUUACCAAGGCAACGAUGCGUAGCCGACAUGAGAGGGUGAUCGGCCACACUGGAACUGAGACACGGUCCAGACUCCUACGGGAGGCAGCAGUAGGGAAUCUUCCGCAAUGGGCGAAAGCCUGACGGAGCAACGCCGCGUGAGUGAUGAAGGUCUUCGGAUCGUAAAACUCUGUUAUUAGGGAAGAACAAAUGUGUAAGUAACUAUGCACGUCUUGACGGUACCUAAUCAGAAAGCCACGGCUAACUACGUG